GGAGGGUGCAAACGUUGUUCGGAAUCACUGGGCGUAAAGGGCGCGCAGGCGGACCUGUAAGUCAGGAGUGAAAACUCGGGGCUCAACUCCGAGCCUGCUUCUGAAACUGCAAGUCUUGAGGGCCGGAGAGGAGAGCGGAAUUCCUAGUGUAGCGGUGGAAUGCGUAGAUAUUAGGAAGAACACCAGUGGCGAAGGCGACUCUCUGGACGGUUCCUGACGCUGAGGCGCGAAAGCUAGGGGAGCAAACAGGGAUUAGAUACCCUGGUAGUCCUAGCCGUAAACGAUGAGUGCUAGGUGGUGGUGGUUUCAACGCCUUCACUGCCGGAGCUAACGCAUUAAGCACUCCGCCUGGGAUACGGCCGCAAGGUUG
RNAcentral lists this ribosomal RNA (370 nucleotides) under uncultured organism. RNAcentral describes it as "partial 16S ribosomal RNA". It matches the Rfam family "Bacterial small subunit ribosomal RNA", at positions 527 to 896 of the family's 1533-position model. The record is from RNAcentral.